Molecule: ribosomal RNA, 250 nt
Filed under: uncultured bacterium
Lineage: Bacteria
Description: partial 16S ribosomal RNA
Rfam family: Bacterial small subunit ribosomal RNA
Source: RNAcentral
GCCGUAAACGAUGAGCACUAAAAGUCGGGGAUACUCGGCUUUCAAGUUAACGCGAUAAGUGCUCCGCCUGAGUAGUACGUACGCAAGUAUAAAACUCAAAGGAAUUGGCGGGACCUCGCACAAGCGGUGGAUCAUGUUGUUUAAUUCGUUGAUACGCGAUGAACCUUACCAGGCCUUGACAUACCUUGCAAUGCACCAGAAAUGGCUGCGGAGGUUAUCAGGGAUACAGGUGGUGCAUGGCUGUCGUCAG